Molecule: small RNA, 125 nt
Filed under: Lingula anatina
Lineage: Eukaryota; Metazoa; Brachiopoda; Lingulata; Lingulida; Lingulidae
Description: uncharacterized LOC106179722, transcript variant X2
Source: RNAcentral
CGAAUACUUUUCCAAACAGCUCAAUUUCUGAGACAGGAAUGAAGUAUUAUGCUAAGGUGUUUGCAAACUGCAGUGACAAGUCAGAUUAUCCUAAAGGUGUGACAGCGAUCAGAGACCCCGAUUCC